Molecule: ribosomal RNA, 2142 nt
Filed under: Escherichia coli
Lineage: Bacteria; Pseudomonadati; Pseudomonadota; Gammaproteobacteria; Enterobacterales; Enterobacteriaceae
Description: partial 23S ribosomal RNA
Rfam family: Bacterial large subunit ribosomal RNA
Source: RNAcentral
GGGUUGUGAGGUUAAGCGACUAAGCGUACACGGUGGAUGCCCUGGCAGUCAGAGGCGAUGAAGGACGUGCUAAUCUGCGAUAAGCGUCGGUAAGGUGAUAUGAACCGUUAUAACCGGCGAUUUCCGAAUGGGGAAACCCAGUGUGAUUCGUCACACUAUCAUUAACUGAAUCCAUAGGUUAAUGAGGCGAACCGGGGGAACUGAAACAUCUAAGUACCCCGAGGAAAAGAAAUCAACCGAGAUUCCCCCAGUAGCGGCGAGCGAACGGGGAGCAGCCCAGAGCCUGAAUCAGUGUGUGUGUUAGUGGAAGCGUCUGGAAAGGCGCGCGAUACAGGGUGACAGCCCCGUACACAAAAAUGCACAUGCUGUGAGCUCGAUGAGUAGGGCGGGACACGUGGUAUCCUGUCUGAAUAUGGGGGGACCAUCCUCCAAGGCUAAAUACUCCUGACUGACCGAUAGUGAACCAGUACCGUGAGGGAAAGGCGAAAAGAACCCCGGCGAGGGGAGUGAAAAAGAACCUGAAACCGUGUACGUACAAGCAGUGGGAGCACAGAGCAAUCUGUGUGACUGCGUACCUUUUGUAUAAUGGGUCAGCGACUUAUAUUCUGUAGCAAGGUUAACCGAAUAGGGGAGCCGAAGGGAAACCGAGUCUUAACUGGGCGUUAAGUUGCAGGGUAUAGACCCGAAACCCGGUGAUCUAGCCAUGGGCAGGUUGAAGGUUGGGUAACACUAACUGGAGGACCGAACCGACUAAUGUUGAAAAAUUAGCGGAUGACUUGUGGCUGGGGGUGAAAGGCCAAUCAAACCGGGAGAUAGCUGGUUCUCCCCGAAAGCUAUUUAGGUAGCGCCUCGUGAAUUCAUCUCCGGGGGUAGAGCACUGUUUCGGCAAGGGGGUCAUCCCGACUUACCAACCCGAUGCAAACUGCGAAUACCGGAGAAUGUUAUCACGGGAGACACACGGCGGGUGCUAACGUCCGUCGUGAAGAGGGAAACAACCCAGACCGCCAGCUAAGGUCCCAAAGUCAUGGUUAAGUGGGAAACGAUGUGGGAAGGCCCAGACAGCCAGGAUGUUGGCUUAGAAGCAGCCAUCAUUUAAAGAAAGCGUAAUAGCUCACUGGUCGAGUCGGCCUGCGCGGAAGAUGUAACGGGGCUAAACCAUGCACCGAAGCUGCGGCAGCGACGCUUAUGCGUUGUUGGGUAGGGGAGCGUUCUGUAAGCCUGUGAAGGUGUACUGUGAGGUAUGCUGGAGGUAUCAGAAGUGCGAAUGCUGACAUAAGUAACGAUAAAGCGGGUGAAAAGCCCGCUCGCCGGAAGACCAAGGGUUCCUGUCCAACGUUAAUCGGGGCAGGGUGAGUCGACCCCUAAGGCGAGGCCGAAAGGCGUAGUCGAUGGGAAACAGGUUAAUAUUCCUGUACUUGGUGUUACUGCGAAGGGGGGACGGAGAAGGCUAUGUUGGCCGGGCGACGGUUGUCCCGGUUUAAGCGUGUAGGCUGGUUUUCCAGGCAAAUCCGGAAAAUCAAGGCUGAGGCGUGAUGACGAGGCACUACGGUGCUGAAGCAACAAAUGCCCUGCUUCCAGGAAAAGCCUCUAAGCAUCAGGUAACAUCAAAUCGUACCCCAAACCGACACAGGUGGUCAGGUAGAGAAUACCAAGGCGCUUGAGAGAACUCGGGUGAAGGAACUAGGCAAAAUGGUGCCGUAACUUCGGGAGAAGGCACGCUGAUAUGUAGGUGAAGUCCCUCGCGGAUGGAGCUGAAAUCAGUCGAAGAUACCAGCUGGCUGCAACUGUUUAUUAAAAACACAGCACUGUGCAAACACGAAAGUGGACGUAUACGGUGUGACGCCUGCCCGGUGCCGGAAGGUUAAUUGAUGGGGUCAGCGCAAGCGAAGCUCUUGAUCGAAGCCCCGGUAAACGGCGGCCGUAACUAUAACGGUCCUAAGGUAGCGAAAUUCCUUGUCGGGUAAGUUCCGACCUGCACGAAUGGCGUAAUGAUGGCCAGGCUGUCUCCACCCGAGACUCAGUGAAAUUGAACUCGCUGUGAAGAUGCAGUGUACCCGCGGCAAGACGGAAAGACCCCGUGAACCUUUACUAUAGCUUGACACUGAACAUUGAGCCUUGAUGUGUAGGAUAGGUGGGAGGCUU